Molecule: long non-coding RNA, 568 nt
Organism: Gossypium raimondii (Peruvian cotton)
Lineage: Eukaryota; Viridiplantae; Streptophyta; Magnoliopsida; Malvales; Malvaceae
Exons: 2
Source: RefSeq, a predicted model, not a curated record
UCAAACAACCUUCUGCCAUUUCAAUCUCAGCCGCAAGCUAGAAAACAUUUUCUCCUCUGCCACUUCGAACCUUAACGACUUGUAUUCUCAAAACCUCUGCCCCAAACUCCGAUCAAGGCGAAGCGAGCAGAGAUCUAACGGCGUGCUUCGAGAAGGUACAGUCGUACGGAGGUGGUGGCGUGGCGCGCGUGGGAGGAGCGGACGUGUGUUGGCGUCGACAGCUGAAGGGGAAGUUAGAAUCCUUAGGGUUUCUGCUUCCUGAAAUGUAAUGGGCUACUGGCUGUUGGGCUUGUGCAACCGGGUUAGGCUAGUAUUUGAAUAGUUUAGGUAUUGAGUUUAGUUUUAGUUUUUUUAAUUGUAAUUGUAAUUGGGCUGUGUAAAUGGACAUUUGGGCUAAAUUUAAAUAUUUAUUUAUUUCUGAAAUGUAUGUGGGUUUUAAUAGUUGGGCUCGGGCCGGGUAAAAUUUGGGUAUUACAGUGUCCAUAUUGUAGUAAAUAUGUAAUUGUUUUCUAUUUAUUUGAAUGAUGAAUGAAUAAGUAAAUAAAGUUAAUUUCACAUUUCACUAUUA